GUCCUCGUAGCUCAGUUGGAUAGAGCAUACGCCUUCUAAGCGUACGGUCGGGAGUUCGAGCCUCUCCGAGGACGCCA
Molecule: transfer RNA, 77 nt
Filed under: Mollicutes bacterium
Lineage: Bacteria; Bacillati; Mycoplasmatota; Mollicutes
Description: tRNA-Arg
Rfam family: tRNA
About the family: Transfer RNA (tRNA) molecules are approximately 80 nucleotides in length. Their secondary structure includes four short double-helical elements and three loops (D, anti-codon, and T loops).
Source: RNAcentral